GAUGUGAGGGCAAUCUGGCUGUGACAUCUGUCACCCCCAUUGAUCGCCAGGGUUAAUUUUACUGAUCUGGCUGGCUAGGUGCUCCCCUUCCUCCCUCACUGCAACAUGUGCGUCCCUCCCAAAGCUGCGUGCUCAGUGGAAGGCAAUUGAAGGAGUGUAUGGUUCUUUGGUCAAGGCUAUACGAUAGUGACAGAUUUUACUUUCCUGGGCUCCAUGAUCACUACAGAUGGUGACAGCAGCCACGAAAUUAAAAGAUGCCUGCUUCUU
Molecule: small RNA, 267 nt
Filed under: Pogona vitticeps (central bearded dragon)
Lineage: Eukaryota; Metazoa; Chordata; Lepidosauria; Squamata; Agamidae
Description: 7SK RNA (ENSPVIG00000004685.1)
Rfam family: 7SK RNA (bases 1-187)
About the family: 7SK was discovered as an abundant small nuclear RNA in the mid-70s but a possible function has only recently been suggested. Two independent studies have found that 7SK RNA binds the CDK9/cyclin T complex (known as elongation factor P-TEFb).
Source: RNAcentral